ACAUGACAUGAAUGAUCAAAAAAAAAUUGAUUAUGAUAGCUUGAGCACGAAUAUUAUAAACGAUUUCUGCUCCAUUGGUUGUCGAUAGUGUUCGAGUGACUUACUCAUUCGUUGAGUUCGUCCAUAUGAUGAAGAAAAAAUUUUUUUUUUUAAGUUUAUUUUUCGAAUCGAACAUUCUUCAGUUGAAUUGGAGACUUUAUGGUCAUGCCCAAAAGAUGUAGCCACGUCGGGACACCCCCUCCCAACCUCUUUUUGUUUUAUCUAAAAAAAAAAAAAAACCUAUACACAAUACAUUCGAGAAGGCUGUUGUUUGGUAAGUGAAAAUAUGAAUGCUAAUUACUCAACAAAAAUAAUCACAGAAUCAAGCCAACAUGUAUGCUAAUCUAUGAUGAGUCACCCAUGUUUAAUAUUCAGGAAAGG
Molecule: long non-coding RNA, 420 nt
Filed under: Elaeis guineensis (African oil palm)
Lineage: Eukaryota; Viridiplantae; Streptophyta; Magnoliopsida; Arecales; Arecaceae
Description: long non-coding RNA (EGUI_LNC034426)
Source: RNAcentral